AGAGUUUGAUCCUGGCUCAGGAUGAACGCUAGCGGCAGGCCUAACACAUGCAAGUCGAACGGCAGCACAGAGUAGCAAUACUUGGGUGGCGAGUGGCGCACGGGUGCGUAACACGUAUGUAACCUACCUCUAACCGGGGGAUAGCCCGAAGAAAUUCGGAUUAAUACCCCAUAAUAUUAUUGAAAGGCAUCUUUUAAUAAUUAAAACUCCGGUGGUUAGAGAUGGGCAUGCGACUGAUUAGCUUGUUGGUGAGGUAACGGCUCACCAAGGCUACGAUCAGUAGGGGACCUGAGAGGGUUAUCCCCCACACUGGUACUGAGACACGGACCAGACUCCUACGGGAGGCAGCAGUGAGGAAUAUUGGUCAAUGGACGCAAGUCUGAACCAGCCAUGCCGCGUGCAGGAUGAAGGCCCUAUGGGUUGUAAACUGCUUUUCUACGAGAAUAAACCCCCGCUCGUGAGCGGGGCUGAAGGUAUCGUAGGAAUAAGCACCGGCUAAC
RNAcentral lists this ribosomal RNA (500 nucleotides) under uncultured bacterium. Its description in RNAcentral is "bacterial SSU rRNA". It matches the Rfam family "Bacterial small subunit ribosomal RNA", at positions 8 to 501 of the family's 1533-position model. The record is from RNAcentral.